Long non-coding RNA from Poecilia latipinna (sailfin molly), 277 nucleotides. RefSeq lists it as uncharacterized. NCBI's taxonomy places the organism in Eukaryota, Metazoa, Chordata, Actinopteri, Cyprinodontiformes, Poeciliidae. The record is from RefSeq and is a predicted model, not a curated record. The transcript is spliced from 3 exons.
CUACUAGCCCAACAAACAGCGCUGGUACUCUGCACUGCGUCACUGAGAAUGAUUUACAUGAGUGGAGUGAUGCGAACUGUGAUGCUCCCCAUGUUUUCAUCUGCCAUCAAGUGGUAAAGACGGCCAGCCUUGUGAAGAUGACGACUGUGACCGAUGCCGACCUGACGGAUCCGGACAUCAGCGCCCAGCUCCUCCAGCAGCUUGGCGCCUUACUGACAAGUCAGGGAUGGACUGAUUUCAAAAUACAGUGGAAGAUUACACCCAAGAAAGAAGGACA